RNAcentral lists this ribosomal RNA (422 nucleotides) under uncultured bacterium. Its description in RNAcentral is "partial 16S ribosomal RNA". It matches the Rfam family "Bacterial small subunit ribosomal RNA", at positions 360 to 774 of the family's 1533-position model. The record is from RNAcentral.
AAUAUUGGACAAUGGGGGCAACCCUGAUCCAGCCAUGCCGCGUGUGUGAAGAAGGUCUUCGGAUUGUAAAGCACUUUAAGUUGGGAGGUAGGGCUUUAGGUUAAUACCCUGAAGUUUUGACGUUACCAACAGAAGAAGCACCGGCUAACGCAGUGCCAGCAGCCGCGGUAAUACAGAGGGUGCAAGCGUUAAUCGGAAUGACUGGGCGUAAAGCGUGCGCAGGCGGUUCGGCAAGAAGGAUGUGAAAUCCCAGGGCUUAACCUUGGAACUGCAUUCAUAACUGCUGAGCUAGAGUACGGUAGAGGAUAGUGGAAUUUCCUGUGUAGCGGUGAAAUGCGUAGAUAUAGGAAGGAACACCAGUGGCGAAGGCGACUACCUGGACUGAUACUGACACUGAGGUGCGAAAGCGUGGGGAGCAAACA